Molecule: long non-coding RNA, 201 nt
Organism: Centruroides sculpturatus (bark scorpion)
Lineage: Eukaryota; Metazoa; Arthropoda; Arachnida; Scorpiones; Buthidae
Exons: 2
Source: RefSeq, a predicted model, not a curated record
CAUUUUCCACUUUCAUUUUCUACAGAUGAUUUACAAUGCUUUUUUUUAUUCCAGUCGAAUGUUAUUAAAAGGUUGGAAGAAAGAGAAAGAGAAAUCAUGCGGUUAAAGGAAGAGUUGGGAAGGCAAGAAUUGGAGUUGAAUAAUCAAAAGGAUCAAUAUAGCGAUGCACUUAAAGAUUUGUCGCUGGCGACAAAAGCUAAA